RNAcentral lists this ribosomal RNA (897 nucleotides) under uncultured bacterium. Its description in RNAcentral is "bacterial SSU rRNA". It matches the Rfam family "Bacterial small subunit ribosomal RNA", at positions 8 to 883 of the family's 1533-position model. The record is from RNAcentral.
AGAGUUUGAUCAUGGCUCAGAAUCAACGCUGGCGGCGUGCCUAACACAUGCAAGUCGAACGCGAAAGGGGCUUCGGCCCUGAGUAGAGUGGCGAACGGGUGAGUAACGCGUGGGUGAUCUACCUUUGAGUGGGGGAUAACGUUCCGAAAGGAGCGCUAAUACCGCAUGACGUUCUGGAUUUGAACAUCUGGAAACCAAAGCCGGGGACCGCAAGGCCUGGCGCUUGGAGAGGAGCCCGCGUCUGAUUAGCUAGUUGGCGGGGUAAUGGCCCACCAAGGCGACGAUCAGUAGCCGGCCUGAGAGGGCGGACGGCCACACUGGGACUGAGACACGGCCCAGACUCCUACGGGAGGCAGCAGUGGGGAAUUGUUCGCAAUGGGCGCAAGCCUGACGACGCAACGCCGCGUGGGGGAUGAAGGUCUUCGGAUUGUAAACCCCUGUCGAGCGGGACGAAUAGCCCACCGCCUAAUACGUGGUGGGAAUGACGGUACCGCUAAAGGAAGCCACGGCUAACUCUGUGCCAGCAGCCGCGGUAAUACAGAGGUGGCAAGCGUUGUUCGGAAUUACUGGGCGUAAAGGGCGCGUAGGCGGCCUUCUAAGUCAGACGUGAAAUCCCCCGGCUUAACCUGGGAACUGCGUCUGAUACUGGGGGGCUUGAGUGCGGGAGAGGGAUGCGGAAUUCCAGGUGUAGCGGUGAAAUGCGUAGAUAUCUGGAGGAACACCGGUGGCGAAGGCGGCAUCCUGGACCGACACUGACGCUGAGGCGCGAAAGCUAGGGUAGCAAACGGGAUUAGAUACCCCGGUAGUCCUAGCCCUAAACGAUGAGUGCUUGGUGUGGCGGGUAUCGAUCCCUGCCGUGCCGAAGCUAACGCAUUAAGCACUCCGCCUGGGGAGUAC